UCUGGUGGCGAUGGCGAGAAGGUCACACCCGUUCCCAUACCGAACACGGAAGUUAAGCUUCUCAGCGCCGAUGGUAGUUGGGGGUUUCCCCCUGUGAGAGUAGGACGCCGCCAGGC
RNAcentral lists this ribosomal RNA (116 nucleotides) under Mesobacillus jeotgali. RNAcentral also lists the same sequence under 3 other names. The record is from RNAcentral. Lineage: Bacteria; Bacillati; Bacillota; Bacilli; Caryophanales; Bacillaceae.